AGCUAGUCCGAGGGCAGUGGUGUUUGCAACUAAUUGAUCAUAACCAGUUACAGAUUCCUUUGUUACUUCUCACUAUCUCAUUUGACUAGCCUUUA
This is an unclassified non-coding RNA of Otolemur garnettii (small-eared galago), 95 nucleotides long. It matches the Rfam family "Y RNA". Rfam says of the family: Y RNAs are components of the Ro ribonucleoprotein particle (Ro RNP), in association with Ro60 and La proteins. The Y RNAs and Ro60 and La proteins are well conserved, but the function of the Ro RNP is not known. The record is from Ensembl. NCBI's taxonomy places the organism in Eukaryota, Metazoa, Chordata, Mammalia, Primates, Galagidae.